AGAGAUCAUGGCUCAGAUUGAACGCUGGCGGCAUGCCUUACACAUGCAAGUCGAACGGCAGCGCGGGGCAACCUGGCGGCGAGUGGCGAACGGGUGAGUAAUAUAUCGGAACGUACCCUGGAGUGGGGGAUAACGUAGCGAAAGUUACGCUAAUACCGCGUACGAUCUAAGGAUGAAAGUGGGGGAUCGCAAGACCUCAUGCUCCUGGAGCGGCCGAUAUCUGAUUAGCUAGUUGGUGGGUAAAGGCCUACCAAGGCAUCGAUCAGUAGCUGGUCUGAGAGGACGACCAGCCACACUGGAGCUGAGACACGGUCCAGACUCCUACGGGAGGCAGCAGUGGGGAAUUUUGGACAAUGGGCGCAAGCCUGAUCCAGCAAUGCCGCGUGAGUGAAGAAGGCCUUCGGGUUGUAAAGCUCUUUUGUCAGGGAAGAAACGGUGAGAGCUAAUAUCUCUUGCUAAUGACGGUACCUGAAGAAUAAGCACCGGCUAACUACGUGCCAGCAGCCGCGGUAAUACGUAGGGUGCAAGCGUUAAUCGGAAUUACUGGGCGUAAAGCGUGCGCAGGCGGUUUUGUAAGUCUGUCGUGAAAUCCCCGGGCUCAACCUGGGAAUUGCGAUGGAGACUGCAAGGCUAGAAUCUGGCAGAGGGGGGUAGAAUUCCACGUGUAGCAGUGAAAUGCGUAGAGAUGUGGAGGAACACCGAUGGCGAAGGCAGCCCCCUGGGUCAAGAUUGACGCUCAUGCCCGAAAGCGUGGGGAGCAAACACGAUUAGAUACCCUGGUAGUCCACGCCCUAAA
RNAcentral lists this ribosomal RNA (796 nucleotides) under uncultured Oxalobacteraceae bacterium. RNAcentral's name for it is "bacterial SSU rRNA". It matches the Rfam family "Bacterial small subunit ribosomal RNA", at positions 8 to 806 of the family's 1533-position model. Lineage: Bacteria; Pseudomonadati; Pseudomonadota; Betaproteobacteria; Burkholderiales; Oxalobacteraceae. The record is from RNAcentral.